This 254-nucleotide ribosomal RNA is filed under the name uncultured bacterium. Its description in RNAcentral is "partial 16S ribosomal RNA". It matches the Rfam family "Bacterial small subunit ribosomal RNA", at positions 524 to 776 of the family's 1533-position model. The record is from RNAcentral.
UACGUAGGGAGCGAGCGUUGUCCGAAGUUACUGGGCGUAAAGCGCGCGUAGGCGGGCUGUUAAGUGAGAGGUGAAAGGCUGGGGCUUAACCCCAUGCAGUGCCUCUCAUACUGGCGGUCUUGAAUUCGGCAGGGAGAAGUGGAAUGGCUGGUGUAGCGGUGAAAUGCGUAGAUAUCUGGAGGAACACCGGUGGCGAAGGCGGCAUCCUGGACCGACACUGACGCUGAGGAGCGAAAGCCAGGGGAGCAAACGGG